RNAcentral lists this ribosomal RNA (255 nucleotides) under uncultured bacterium. RNAcentral's name for it is "partial 16S ribosomal RNA". It matches the Rfam family "Bacterial small subunit ribosomal RNA", at positions 524 to 776 of the family's 1533-position model. The record is from RNAcentral.
UACGUAGGGUGCGAGCGUUAAUCGGAAUUACUGGGCGUAAAGCGUGCGCAGGCGGUUCGUUGUGUCGGUGGUGAAAUCCCCGGGCUUAACCUGGGAAUGGCCAUGGAAACUGGCGAACUGGAGUGCGGCAGAGGGGGGUGGAAUUCCGCGUGUAGCAGUGAAAUGCGUAGAGAUGCGGAGGAACACCGAUGGCGAAGGCAGCCCCCCUGGGCUAGCACUGACGCCUCAGGCACGAAAGCGUGGGGAGCAAACAGG